GGAGGGGUGGCAGAGCGGUUUAAUGCACCGGUCUUGAAAACCGGCGUAGGUUAGUAGCCUACCGAGAGUUCGAAUCUCUCCUCCUCCGCCA
Molecule: transfer RNA, 91 nt
Filed under: Marinomonas arctica
Lineage: Bacteria; Pseudomonadati; Pseudomonadota; Gammaproteobacteria; Oceanospirillales; Oceanospirillaceae
Also listed under: 11 other names
Description: tRNA-Ser
Rfam family: tRNA
About the family: Transfer RNA (tRNA) molecules are approximately 80 nucleotides in length. Their secondary structure includes four short double-helical elements and three loops (D, anti-codon, and T loops).
Source: RNAcentral